GCGCUCCCUCGGGGGGGUUCGGGCAUCUCUACCUCAGUGCCGCCAAUCUCAGGUCAGAGAUCCAAACCCUCCGGGGGCGC
This is a microRNA precursor of Human alphaherpesvirus 1 strain 17, 80 nucleotides long. It matches the Rfam family "mir-H5 microRNA precursor family". The record is from Rfam. NCBI's taxonomy places the organism in Duplodnaviria, Heunggongvirae, Peploviricota, Herviviricetes, Herpesvirales, Orthoherpesviridae.